CAGCAGCCGCGGGAAUACCGAGGGUGCAAGCGUUAAUCGGAAUUACUGGGCGUAAAGCGCGCGUAGGUGGUUUGUUAAGUUGGAUGUGAAAUCCCCGGGCUCAACCUGGGAACUGCAUCCAAAACUGGCAAGCUAGAGUAUGGUAGAGGGUGGUGGAAUUUCCUGUGUAGCGGUGAAAUGCGUAGAUAUAGGAAGGAACACCAGUGGCGAAGGCGACCACCUGGACUGAUACUGACACUGAGGUGCGAAAGCGUGGGGAGCAAACAGGAUUAGAUACCCCCGUAGUCCCUGUCUCUUAUAC
This 301-nucleotide ribosomal RNA is filed under the name uncultured bacterium. RNAcentral's name for it is "partial 16S ribosomal RNA". It matches the Rfam family "Bacterial small subunit ribosomal RNA", at positions 509 to 807 of the family's 1533-position model. The record is from RNAcentral.